CCUAUGGGGUGCAGCAGGCGCGAAAACUUUACCAUGCGGGCAACCGUGAUAAGGAAACCCCGAGUGCCAGCACAGGCUGGCUGUCCGCCAGUUUAAACAACUGGCGAAGAAAGGGCCGGGCAAGACCGGUGCCAGCCGCCGCGGUAAUACCGGCGGCUCGAGUGGUGGCCGCUAUUACUGGGCUUAAAGGGUCCGUAGCUUGAUAAUAGGGUCCCUUGAGAAAUCCGCCGGCUUAACUGGCGGGCGUUCAGGGGAAACUUGUUUUCUAGGGACCGGGAGAGGUGAGGGGUACUGCCGGGGUAGGAGUGAAAUCCUGUAAUCCCGGUGGGACCACCUAUGGCGAAGGCAUCUCACCAGAACGGGUCCGACAGUGAGGGACGAAAGCUGGGGGAGCAAACCGGAUUAGAUACCCAGGUAGUCC
RNAcentral lists this ribosomal RNA (421 nucleotides) under uncultured Methanospirillum sp. RNAcentral's name for it is "bacterial SSU rRNA". It matches the Rfam family "Archaeal small subunit ribosomal RNA", at positions 322 to 747 of the family's 1478-position model. The record is from RNAcentral. Lineage: Archaea; Methanobacteriati; Methanobacteriota; Methanomicrobia; Methanomicrobiales; Methanospirillaceae.